GGCAUCAUUUCCCCUUCCCCUUCAUCUGUGGGAUCACUAUCAGAGGAAGUCAGUUACACAGAAGGUUUAAAUAGAUCCAGUGUCCAUGUUCCAGUAGAAAACUAUCCAUUAUACCAAGAAACAGGGAGAUCUCAAACUGAAUAAAACAACAGAUGCCAACAGUCAGAUGACAGAAAUGUCAGAAUUUCUGAUAAAGAUUUUAAAGCAGCAAUUAAAAAAAUGUUUCAGUGAGCAACUGCACACACCUUUGAAACAAAUGAAAAAAUAUGAUCUCAACCAAGCAAGAGGAGACAUUAAGGAGACCCCAAUGAAGAUUUUAGAAGAGAAAAAUGCAAUAAACAAAUAAAAUGCUCACUGGAUGUGCUCAACAGCAGAAUAGAAGGGAUAAAAGAAAGGUUCUGUGAAUUUGAGGAUAGAAAAAUAGCCAUGAUCUAAUAUGAACAACCCAGAGAAAAUAAACUGAAAAAGAAAAAAAGAAGUGAACAGAACUGUGUGUACCUGUAUAGGAGUAAUGAAAGAUCUAAUAUUCAUGUCAUUGAAAUCCCUGAAGGUGAAGAGAAAGUAGGUAAGACUGAUAAGUGCUCACAGGGAAAAAAUGGCUGUAGAUUUCCAAUUUUUCCCCAAAAUUUGGCAAAGGACAUAAAGUUACAGAUUCAAGAAACCGUGUGAACUCUGAUUGGAAUGUAAAGAAACCACACCAUGACACUUCAUAGCCAAGCUUCUGAAGCUAAAGACAAAGAAAAAUAAAACUUGAAAGCAGUGAGAGAGAAAUGCUACCUUUCUUACAGAGAGACAAUUCAUUCAAAUCACAGUGAUUUUUUUCAUCAGAAACCAUGGAGGCCAGAAGAAAGUGGCACAGGAUUUUUCAAAUGCUGAAAGAAAGUAACUGCCACCUAUAAUUCUGUACCCAAGUGAAAAAGAUCUUCAGGAAUGACACCCAGGACACCAGACACUCUCAGGUAAAAUCAUCUGAGUGCACUGCAUCAUUCCAACGCAUAUCACAGAAGAGGCUUUUAGAGAUUAAAUAUUUGUCAUUUCUAGAAUAUAUGAUCAUCAGCACUUCCUAUGUGAAAAAUCCCAACUGUAAGAAAGCAAAAACAAACGAAUGAAGAAAGAGACAA
Molecule: long non-coding RNA, 1121 nt
Organism: Callorhinus ursinus (northern fur seal)
Lineage: Eukaryota; Metazoa; Chordata; Mammalia; Carnivora; Otariidae
Source: RefSeq, a predicted model, not a curated record